AGAUAAAAUUCAAUGGGCCAACUGUUAAAAAUCGGGAGAGCCAGUUUCUGUGAGCUGUCAAACAAAUUCUCUCAUCUGUGUUCUAAUCUUUGCCAACUUGAACUCGUCUAUUGGUAAUUAAUAAUCGGAGUUGGAGAAAGAGGCCUAAUAUUUUUUAAGAAUAUUGGAAUUGAUAAUAACAAUUAUGGACAAACAACUGAAAGAUAUAGACAAAUAUUAUACCAAUUUGGAAUAUGAUAAAAAUAUACUGCUAUGCAAGUACAAUGAAAUAUUUGCUUUAGCC
Acromyrmex echinatior (Panamanian leafcutter ant) is the source of this 283-nucleotide long non-coding RNA. NCBI's taxonomy places the organism in Eukaryota, Metazoa, Arthropoda, Insecta, Hymenoptera, Formicidae. The record is from RefSeq and is a predicted model, not a curated record.